CUUUCCCUCUUUCUUUAGGCCUAACACAUGCAAGUCGAACGGCAGCACAGUAAGAGCUUGCUCUUACGGGUGGCGAGUGGCGGACGGGUGAGGAAUACAUCGGAAUCUACUUUUUCGUGGGGAAUAACGUAGGGAAACUUACGCUAAUACCGCAUACGACCUACGGGUGAAAGCAGGGGAUCUUCGGACCUUGCGCGAUUGAAUGAGCCGAUGUCGGAUUAGCUAGUUGGCGGGGUAAAGGCCCACCAAGGCGACGAUCCGUAGCUGGUCUGAGAGGAUGAUCAGCCACACUGGAACUGAGACACGGUCCAGACUCCUACGGGAGGCAGCAGUGGGGAAUAUUGGACAAUGGGCGCAAGCCUGAUCCAGCCAUACCGCGUGGGUGAAGAAGGCCUUCGGGUUGUAAAGCCCUUUUGUUGGGAAAGAAAAGCAGCAGGUUAAUACCCCGCUGUUCUGACGGUACCCAAAGAAUAAGCACCGGCUAACUUCGUG
RNAcentral lists this ribosomal RNA (492 nucleotides) under uncultured bacterium. RNAcentral's name for it is "partial 16S ribosomal RNA". It matches the Rfam family "Bacterial small subunit ribosomal RNA", at positions 36 to 507 of the family's 1533-position model. The record is from RNAcentral.